Molecule: non-coding RNA, 547 nt
Organism: Podarcis muralis (Common wall lizard)
Lineage: Eukaryota; Metazoa; Chordata; Lepidosauria; Squamata; Lacertidae
Source: RefSeq, a predicted model, not a curated record
CUAUGUAUAAAGUCCUAGCUGUUGUGCUUGCAUUCAGAAAACCUAACUAACUGCCGGCCAGUUUCUCAUCUCCCUUUCCUGAGCAAUGUUCUGGAGUGAGUGGCUGCAGACCAGAUCCAGGCGCUUUGGAAAGAAACUGAUUUUCUGGAUCCGUUUCAAGUGGGGUUUAUGUGACAAAGACACCUGAGAGCCGAAGCAGCCAAGCAGGCUGGGAAGUGCUGGGACUGCGCCGUCAUUUGGUCCUAGUCAUGUUCUCCAGGCCUGACUGCUAACUGCGGAGUCACUCUGGCAUGGGACUUGGCAGCCAUUUUCUCUCUGUGCCCUCAGUAAGAUGUCAGUCAGAGUCAGUCUGCCUCAGUUGACUACACAAAACCUGGGCUAAGAAGGAACAUAAUCUCUUUCAGACGUGGAGAAGGAAGAACAUGGAUGAGCAGAAAUACCUUCCCCCUUGGCGUCACCCACCUUCCUGGGCGGAGAAGGUCCCUUCCGCACACCGAGCACAAGCAUAGCAGCAAAUGGGCUUUCCUUCUAGAACCACCUUGGCAUA